RNAcentral lists this long non-coding RNA (444 nucleotides) under Coffea arabica (coffee). RNAcentral describes it as "long non-coding RNA (CARA_LNC002630)". Lineage: Eukaryota; Viridiplantae; Streptophyta; Magnoliopsida; Gentianales; Rubiaceae. The record is from RNAcentral.
UGCUAGCAAGAUUGGAAAGUACAUAGCAAUAUCCAUCUGCUAUUGUAUAUUUUAUGACUGCCCAGCUUUAUAAUGAUAUACCCUCUGUAUUGUUGAAGAAAUAUGAUAUAUUGAGCUCAAACUAUUACAAAGUUGGGGAAAAAAAUCAUUGAAUCAACUAGGUUUGCAUAUUAUUUUUAGCUUUUAGCUUAGUAGUUAGCUUAGAAGUGAAAAGAUGAUGAAUUUUUGAUAUUGUUUGGAUUUAAGAAAGAAGUCAAGGCUUUAGGACAUUAGAGAUGAUUCAAUGCUUUACAACCACUAUUUCAAAUACAAACUGGGCCUUUUUGAGAACUUUUAUAACUGCACAGCAGGUUUCCUCUUACUUGCUUAUCCAGGUUGUAUGGAGAGAUUUUCGGUUUUUUAUCAAAAAUUUUUUUAGGAAAUGUGGAAAAAUGUUAUUGAAAU